This is a long non-coding RNA of Austrofundulus limnaeus, 2537 nucleotides long. RefSeq lists it as uncharacterized. The transcript has 2 exons. Lineage: Eukaryota; Metazoa; Chordata; Actinopteri; Cyprinodontiformes; Rivulidae. The record is from RefSeq and is a predicted model, not a curated record.
GAAAAAUUGCUACUCGGAGCGUGGUUUUGUAAUAAUAAUUAAAGAAUCGCUGUAAUACAUAAAAARCAAUUACAGCUUCAAAAUAAAAGCACAUAUCUGGUCAGAAUUCAGGUUUUUGCUUUCCAAUGCAACCAUAUUUGAGGUCUUCAAAACAACAGGUGUUUCUCCCCUCAAAAUGCCCCCUUGUGAGUAACUGUCCUUUUUUGUUGUUGUUGUUUUUUGUCAUGUUAAUACACUGCCAAGCUGACUUCCAUCCAAACCUCCAAGUGCCAGCAGCACUGCAACUCCGAGAUGCAUAGAGCCGCCCUGAACCUGAUUACACAUGAUCAAAGUCACAUUUUUCAACAAUUUGAUUAUGUUUUAGAGCUUGAAUGAGAUCAACAUGCCGGCUGCUGCAGUGCUCCUCUGAAACAACUAAUUGAAAAGACUUUUUAAGCGUUUGCUCGGUUUGAUGCAGCAAUUGCCGUUUCCCUCAGGUUGACCUCCAUCRCUGGAGUGGGACUACUGUAUUUAAUUACCUACAGUGAAUUCGAUUAUCAGGAAAUAUGGUGCAUAUCAAGUGAAUCCCUGCCUUAAGAUACGUAUUAGUUUUCCUGUAGAAAGUUGGAAAACACGUAAACUUGAGUCAAGACAAAAGGCAGCGGCUAAUGAGACUGGUUAGUGAUUCAAAUUUAUGGAAAUUUCAUUAAUUACACAAACCUAUCUUUCAUCUGUACCAUUUGGUGGUGGAGUAAUUAAAAGCAACAAUGGCGGUCCCCGCAGCGGAGGAACCAAACAAGAUCAAAGAAAACGGAGCGGUGAGGAGUAAGUCCUGUGGAUCCUGAACCAGGCCUGGCCGUGGGCAACAUGGCCCUCAUUAAAGCCACGCCGUGUUGAUCAUCAAUUAACCUGCUUUGUUUUGCUUCUGAUUUAAAACUUGAACAACAACACUUCUCUGCCGGUUGGAAAGUUUACGCCGGAGGUGAUAAAGGUUCAUCAGAAGUGUUGAGUUUGGGGCUUGGAGGGACGACGUGUUAAUCAGCAAAAGGAAGGUUGACCUACAUCUCUUUUUAUCGGCUGCAGAGAGGACCUCCACUGUGGAUGAAAUUUAGCCACAGCCUCUGACCUUUUGGGUUCAGCGUUUGUCUCCAGUCCAGUGACCACAAACAACUCCUGGAUUGCUGUAAAUGUCAGUGCAGCGGUGUCCCCGCCCCGUCCCCUGUGAACCACAGAGCUGCACUCAACCCGCACUAACAGGACAAUUUCAUGAGGGCUCCAUUAUCAGUUUAUACGCUGGGUUUGAUAACUCACAUUUCCUUCUCAUGAAGUCUCCAGAACCUGAGCAGCUCAGACAGCCAAACUGUUUCUGCUYCACUUUCUCAAACUUCCCUUUUUAUGCUUCCUUCAUGAUCAUGCCGUUCUACCAUCUGUAACAGAAUAAAACAUUUCAAUUUAACAAGAGACACAAAAAGAUUUUGGCUGUGAAGCCUUAAAAACAAUUUGACCCAUUUAGCACACAAAAGAGCUUGCACCAUCGAUCAUAAACGUCGGAUAUAAUAGAUUUAUGUUCUGAAGACACUGGUUGUAAUGCAUCCCAUUUUGAAGCACUUUGGCUUGCCCUUCCCCCCAGCCAUAAACACACACGCACACACUCUCUCUUUUUUUUUUUUCUCCUCCCCGGGCCUCCUGAGGUUGGUGUCUCUGCGUUAGGACUCCAUUGUUGCCUACUGCUGGAUAAUGCCCUUAUUAAUUGUACCUCUUUGUAAGGUGUCAGCUGUAGCCUCAGAUUGAGAUGGAUGGAUCUCUGGAGUCUGCUCCCUGGCCCUCCACAGACUCUCUAUCUCUGCUCAGCACACAGACGCAACAGUGAGCGCUGCCACAUAUGACUAAAAGCUGAGAUAAAACAGCCAUUUUAAUUAUUACACACACAAAAUAGAAAAUGUGUCUAAAAACAAAAUAAAACUCUACUUAUAUUAUUUGUAUGACGAACUGUUUGCAAAUGUUUACCUUUUCUAAGUGAAAUAUCCAUAGCAAUGAUGGAAUAUAUUAUUUUUAAAAAAUAUUAAUAUUGAUCAUUUCACUGUGUUUGCAGCUCUGCUGGUUAAUUAGGUGGAUUGAAGCCUUUGUGAAUUCAACUGCAUUAACAUCAAAUCCUCUCCCUCUCAUUAAAGGAAACAGAGUCAGUUUAAUUAAUUCAUAUUAAUCCCCACUGAUGCUCAUUUCAGCUUUAAUAAAAGUGUGACUGUCUGUGCUCAUCCGUUAUUUUUUUAAAAUCUAAAGGUUUGAUCACUUCUAGCAUGAAAAACGAUCAGAGUUUGAAGAAUUUUACAAGUAUUUUACUAAUCAUCUGUGGAUUUAUUAACUCAAAUCUAGAUGAGGUAAGAACUGUGUCAAAUAAUGUGGAUUAUCAACAAUUCUUCUGAUGCAAACUGGUUUCAGUGUGAGAUAUGUAUAAUAAUACUAUGUAAAUUGCAUUUAUGAUUGAAGUUAUCUACAUUUUGCCUUCAAAAUGUGUGUUUUUAUUAAUAUUUAAAGAAAUAAAAACCAGAUGUCAUGAA